RNAcentral lists this ribosomal RNA (679 nucleotides) under uncultured Gammaproteobacteria bacterium. RNAcentral's name for it is "bacterial SSU rRNA". It matches the Rfam family "Bacterial small subunit ribosomal RNA", at positions 41 to 716 of the family's 1533-position model. The record is from RNAcentral. Lineage: Bacteria; Pseudomonadati; Pseudomonadota; Gammaproteobacteria.
GGUAUGCUUAACACAUGCAAGUCGAACGCGAAAAUACCUUCGGGUAUGAGUAGAGUGGCGGACGGGUGAGUAAUGCAUAGGAAUCUGCCCAGUAGCGGGGGACAACCUGGGGAAACUCAGGCUAAUACCGCAUACGCCCUACGGGGGAAAGCGGGGGACCUUCGGGCCUCGCACUAUUGGAUGAGCCUAUGUCAGAUUAGCUUGUUGGUGGGGUAAAAGCCUACCAAGGCGACGAUCUGUAGCUGGUCUGAGAGGACGAUCAGCCACACUGGGACUGAGACACGGCCCAGACUCCUACGGGAGGCAGCAGUGGGGAAUAUUGCACAAUGGGCGAAAGCCUGAUGCAGCAAUGCCGCGUGUGUGAAGAAGGCCUGCGGGUUGUAAAGCACUUUCAGUAGGGAGGAAACAGUAACGGAACAAUACCCGUUGCCUUGACGUUACCUACAGAAGAAGCACCGGCUAACUCUGUGCCAGCAGCCGCGGUAAUACAGAGGGUGCAAGCGUUAAUCGGAAUUACUGGGCGUAAAGAGCACGUAGGCGGCGCAGCCAGUCAGAGGUGAAAGCCCCGGGCUCAACCUGGGAAUUGCCUUUGAUACUGCUGUGCUUGAGUCCAUCAGAGGGUGGCGGAAUACCCAGUGUAGAGGUGAAAUUCGUAGAUAUUGGGUAGAACACCAGUGGC